UCAAUAUUAAAAACCUAAAUUAUUAGUAGUUAAGUUCUUGAAAAUUAAUGGAGAUGGCGGUAUUUUAGUCUAUUCAGAGGAAUCUGUCCUGUAAUUGAUAUUCCACGAUUAAAUUUACUUGGGGUUUUAGUUUAUAUAUCGCUGUAGGUUGAAUAUUUCUAUAGGAACAAAAUAUUCAUAAUUUUUAUUGAAAGUAAAUCAAGUCAAGAUGUAGCUUAUCCCUAAGGAGAGAUGGAUUACAAUAUGGUUAAUAGUGGUUGGCUACUUGAAAAUUAGUUAUAAAAUGGAUUUGAAAGUAAUUUUUUACUAAUAUAUGGAAAAUGAUUAUAGCUCUAAAAUA
Molecule: ribosomal RNA, 340 nt
Filed under: Xylosandrus mancus
Lineage: Eukaryota; Metazoa; Arthropoda; Insecta; Coleoptera; Curculionidae
Description: partial 12S ribosomal RNA
Source: RNAcentral